GGGGUUGUAGCUUAGCUAGGUAGAGCGCCUGGCUCAUAACCAGGUGGUCAUUGGUUCGAAUCCGAUCAGCCCCA
Non-coding RNA from Thermoplasmatales archaeon Gpl, 74 nucleotides. Lineage: Archaea; Methanobacteriati; Thermoplasmatota; Thermoplasmata; Thermoplasmatales. The record is from Rfam.